AUCUGCGGCCACACCACCCUGAUCGCUCCUAAUCUCCGCUGAUCUCGGAAGCUAAGCAGGGUUGGGCCUGGUUCGUACUUGGAUGGGAGGCUGCCUGGGAAUACCAGGUGCUGUAGGCU
Loxodonta africana (African savanna elephant) is the source of this 119-nucleotide ribosomal RNA. NCBI's taxonomy places the organism in Eukaryota, Metazoa, Chordata, Mammalia, Proboscidea, Elephantidae. The record is from Ensembl.